RNAcentral lists this ribosomal RNA (252 nucleotides) under uncultured bacterium. RNAcentral describes it as "partial 16S ribosomal RNA". It matches the Rfam family "Bacterial small subunit ribosomal RNA", at positions 524 to 775 of the family's 1533-position model. The record is from RNAcentral.
UACGGAGGGUGCGAGCGUUGUCCGGAAUCAUUGGGCGUAAAGGGCGCGUAGGUGGCCCGGUCAGUUCGUGGUGAAAGCGCGGGGCUCAACCCUGCGUCGGCCAUGAAUACUGCUGGGCUUGAGCACUGUAGAGGCAGGCGGAAUUCCGGGUGUAGCGGUGGAAUGCGUAGAGAUCCGGAAGAACACCGGUGGCGAAGGCGGCCUGCUGGGCAGUUGCUGACACUGAGGCGCGACAGCGUGGGGAGCAAACAG